Molecule: ribosomal RNA, 618 nt
Filed under: uncultured bacterium
Lineage: Bacteria
Description: bacterial SSU rRNA
Rfam family: Bacterial small subunit ribosomal RNA
Source: RNAcentral
CCUACGGGAGGCAGCAGUAAGGAAUAUUGGUCAAUGGAGGCAACUCUGAACCAGCCAUGCCGCGUGCAGGAAGACGGCCCUAUGGGUUGUAAACUGCUUUUGAACUAGAGAAAACCUUGGUACGUGUACCGAGUUGAUAGUAUAGUUAGAAUAAGCAUCGGCUAACUUCGUGCCAGCAGCCGCGGUAAGACGAAGGAUGCAAGCGUUAUCCGGAUUCAUUGGGUUUAAAGGGUGCGUAGGCGGACUGAUAAGUCAGUGGUGAAAUCUCUCAGCUUAACUGAGAAACUGCCAUUGAUACUGUUAGUCUAGAGUACAGAUGAUGUGGGCGGAAUAUGACAUGUAGUGGUGAAAUACUUAGAUAUGUCAUAGAACACCGAUUGCGAAGGCAGCUCACAAAACUGUAACUGACGCUGAGGCACGAAAGUGCGGGGAUCAAACAGGAUUAGAUACCCUGGUAGUCCGCACCGUAAACGAUGAUUACUCGUUGUUGGCGAUAUGACAGUCAGCGACCAAGCGAAAGCGAUAAGUUAAUUCCACCUUGGGGAGUACGCCGGCGACGGUGAACGUUCAAAUUGAAUUGACGGCUUGGNGAGNGCGAGGACGACACGAGGAGGUAGG